AUGGAGACGCCGAACAGCCUCGCGUCCGUAUCCGGCCCGCCGUCGACGGCGAGGCCGGCGGCCGUGGCCAGCGCCGAGCAGGAUGGCAUCAGGUCCAGUAUCCCCGCGGGGAGCGGCGGCGGAGGCGCCAGCGCCGACUCACCCGAGCAGUUUACUACGGACGACAGCGACCCGGGGCCGCCGUCCGGCUGCUGGCUCGAGGCGAACUUGGACAUGAGGCUCACGAUGUUGUUGCACAGCUUUUUCAUCUGCCCCAGCUCGCGGGUCAACCGCGCGUUAUCCCGCCGCAGCCGGUCGUUCUCCUCGCCCAUGUCGCCGGACGAGGAGCCCGCGGCGGCGCCGCCCAGGCCGGAGCCUGAGCCGGACGGUGCGGCCAGCGGGAGCUCCUCCGCGGAUCCCGAGUUGGACGACAGAACCUGCUCCUCGGAGGACAGCUGCGGCUCCGGCGAGCCGGAGCGCGUAACCGGCAGCGCCAUAGGGAUCGCUGCAGUGGCAACCGUGACCGCGCCAGCCGCGGCGGCGGCAGCAGCAGCCGCAAGACCCGCCGACUGGACCACCUUCCGGCGGUGUAUGUCGCAGAGCAGGCGCUUCUCGCCUCGCCGGAAGCAGUCGUUGGCGAACUCCCACCGGUCCGGCACGAUCUUCCUAAAUCCCUAUACGCCACAGCAAGCAAAAUCCAAGGAUGAACAACAUGGGCAUUCCACGCCAAAAAUUCCAGAAAGGCCAAAUCCCAACCCGAGCCCGAGGAAUCAACCAACCGAACCCAUGGAGCGAGCGCACGUACGUAGGUGUUGA
This 795-nucleotide ribosomal RNA is filed under the name Triticum aestivum (bread wheat). RNAcentral's name for it is "partial small subunit ribosomal RNA". Lineage: Eukaryota; Viridiplantae; Streptophyta; Magnoliopsida; Poales; Poaceae. The record is from RNAcentral.